AGGUAAGCUACUAAGAGCGAAUGGUGGAUGCCUUGACUGGUAAAGGCGAUGAAGGACGUACUAGACUGCGAUAAGCUACGGGGAGCUGUCAAGAAGCUUUGAUCCGUAGAUUUCCGAAUGGGGCAACCCAAUGUAUAGAGAUAUACAUUACCUAUAUAGGAGCGAACGAGGGGAAUUGAAACAUCUUAGUACUCUCAGGAAAAGAAAUCAAUAGAGAUUGCGUCAGUAGCGGCGAGCGAAAGCGCAAGAGGGCAAACCCAGUGCUUGCACUGGGGGUUGUAGGACUGCAAUGUGCAAGAGGUAAGUUUAGCAGAACAUUCUGGAAAGUAUAACCAUAGAGGGUGAUAGUCCCGUAUGCGAAAAACAAACCUUAGCUAGCAGUAUCCUGAGUAGGGCGGGACACGAGGAAUCCUGUCUGAAUCCGGGUCGACCACGAUCCAACCCUAAAUACUAAUACCAGAUCGAUAGUGCACAAGUACCGUGAGGGAAAGGUGAAAAGAACUGAGGUGAUCAGAGUGAAAUAGAACCUGAAACCAUUUGCUUACAAUCAUUCAGAGCCCUAUGUAGCAAUACAGGGUGAUGGACUGCCUUUUGCAUAAUGAGCCUGCGAGUUGUGGUGUCUGGCAAGGUUAAGCAAACGCGAAGCCGUAGCGAAAGCGAGUCUGAAUAGGGCGCUUAGUCAGAUGCUGCAGACCCGAAACGAAGUGAUCUAUCCAUGAGCAAGUUGAAGCUAGUGUAAGAACUAGUGGAGGACUGAACCCAUAGGCGUUGAAAAGCCCCGGGAUGACUUGUGGAUAGGGGUGAAAGGCCAAUCAAACUUCGUGAUAGCUGGUUCUCUCCGAAAUAUAUUUAGGUAUAGCGUUGUGUCGUAAUAUAAGGGGGUAGAGCACUGAAUGGGCUAGGGCAUACACCAAUGUACCAAACCCUAUCAAACUCCGAAUACCUUAUAUGUAAUCACAGCAGUCAGGCGGCGAGUGAUAAAAUCCGUCGUCAAGAGGGAAACAACCCAGACUACCAGCUAAGGUCCCUAAAUCUUACUUAAGUGGAAAACGAUGUGAAGUUACUUAAACAACCAGGAGGUUGGCUUAGAAGCAGCCAUCCUUUAAAGAAAGCGUAAUAGCUCACUGGUCUAGUGAUUUUGCGCGGAAAAUAUAACGGGGCUAAAGUAAGUACCGAAGCUGUAGACUUAGUUUACUAAGUGGUAGGAGAGCGUUCUAUUUGCGUCGAAGGUAUACCGGUAAGGAGUGCUGGAGCGAAUAGAAGUGAGCAUGCAGGCAUGAGUAGCGAUAAUUAAUGUGAGAAUCAUUAACGCCGUAAACCCAAGGUUUCCUACGCGAUGCUCGUCAUCGUAGGGUUAGUCGGGUCCUAAGUCGAGUCCGAAAGGGGUAGACGAUGGCAAAUUGGUUAAUAUUCCAAUACCAACAUUAGUGUGCGAUGGAAGGACGCUUAGGGCUAAGGGGGCUAGCGGAUGGAAGUGCUAGUCUAAGGUCGUAGGAGGUUAUACAGGCAAAUCCGUAUAACAAUACUCCGAGAACUGAAAGGCUUUUUGAAGUCUUCGGAUGGAUAGAAGAACCCCUGAUGCCGUCGAGCCAAGAAAAGUUUCUAAGUUUAGCUAAUGUUGCCCGUACCGUAAACCGACACAGGUGGGUGGGAUGAGUAUUCUAAGGCGCGUGGAAGAACUCUCUUUAAGGAACUCUGCAAAAUAGCACCGUAUCUUCGGUAUAAGGUGUGGUUAGCUUUGUAUUAGGAUUUACUCCGAAAGCAAGGAAACUUACAACAAAGAGUCCCUCCCGACUGUUUACCAAAAACACAGCACUCUGCUAACUCGUAAGAGGAUGUAUAGGGUGUGACGCCUGCCCGGUGCUCGAAGGUUAAUUGAUGGGGUUAGCAUUAGCGAAGCUCUUGAUCGAAGCCCGAGUAAACGGCGGCCGUAACUAUAACGGUCCUAAGGUAGCGAAAUUCCUUGUCGGUUAAAUACCGACCUGCAUGAAUGGCGUAACGAGAUGGGAGCUGUCUCAAAGAGGGAUCCAGUGAAAUUGUAGUGGAGGUGAAAAUUCCUCCUACCCGCGGCAAGACGGAAAGACCCCGUGGACCUUUACUACAGCUUGACACUGCUACUUGGAUAAGAAUGUGCAGGAUAGGUGGGAGGCUUUGAGUAUAUGACGCCAGUUGUAUAUGAGCCAUUGUUG
This 2189-nucleotide ribosomal RNA is filed under the name Campylobacter jejuni. RNAcentral describes it as "partial 23S ribosomal RNA". It matches the Rfam family "Bacterial large subunit ribosomal RNA", at positions 1 to 2194 of the family's 2925-position model. The record is from RNAcentral. Lineage: Bacteria; Pseudomonadati; Campylobacterota; Epsilonproteobacteria; Campylobacterales; Campylobacteraceae.